RNAcentral lists this ribosomal RNA (301 nucleotides) under uncultured bacterium. Its description in RNAcentral is "partial 16S ribosomal RNA". It matches the Rfam family "Bacterial small subunit ribosomal RNA", at positions 509 to 807 of the family's 1533-position model. The record is from RNAcentral.
CAGUAGCCGCGGGAAUACGAAGGGGGCUAGCGUUGUUCGGAUUUACUGGGCGUAAAGGGCGCGUAGGCGGACUGAUAAGUCAGGGGUGAAAUCCCAAGGCUCAACCUUGGAACUGCCUUUGAUAUUGUUUGUCUUGAGUUCGAGAGAGGUAAGUGGAACUGCGAGUGUAGAGGUGAAAUUCGUAGAUAUUCGCAAGAACACCAGUGGCGAAGGCGGCUUACUGGCUCGAAACUGACGCUGAGGCGCGAAAGCGUGGGGAGCAAACAGGAUUAGAGACCCCGGUAGUCCCUGUCUCUUAUAC